This 844-nucleotide ribosomal RNA is filed under the name uncultured bacterium. Its description in RNAcentral is "bacterial SSU rRNA". It matches the Rfam family "Bacterial small subunit ribosomal RNA", at positions 60 to 914 of the family's 1533-position model. The record is from RNAcentral.
AGUCGAACGGUGGUAGCAAUACCAUAGUGGCGCACGGGUGCGUAACACGUAACUAACCUACCCAGAACUGGGGGAUAGCCCGCCGAAAGGCGGAUUAAUACCGCAUAACACUUGAGACUGGCAUCAGUUUUUAGUUAAAGAUUUAUUGGUUUUGGAUGGGGUUGCGGGUCAUUAGCUAGUUGGUAAGGUAACGGCUUACCAAGGCGACGAUGACUAGGGGAGCUGAGAGGCUGGUCCCCCACACGGGCACUGAGAUACGGGCCCGACUCCUACGGGAGGCAGCAGUAGGGAAUAUUGGGCAAUGGACGAGAGUCUGACCCAGCCAUGCCGCGUGCAGGAAGAAGGCUUUCUGAGUCGUAAACUGCUUUUGACAGGGAAGAAUAAGCUGUACGUGUACAGUGAUGACGGUACCUGCAGAAUAAGCACCGGCUAACUCCGUGCCAGCAGCCGCGGUAAUACGGAGGGUGCGAGCGUUGUCCGGAUUUAUUGGGUUUAAAGGGUGCGUAGGCGGCCUUGUAAGUCCGGGGUGAAAGCCCGUUGCUCAACAACGGAACUGCCCUGGAUACUGCAAGGCUUGAGUACAGACGAGGUUGGCGGAAUGGACCGAGUAGCGGUGAAAUGCAUAGAUACGGUCCAGAACCCCGAUUGCGAAGGCAGCUGACUAGGCUGUUACUGACGCUGAGGCACGACAGCGUGGGGAGCGAACAGGAUUAGAUACCCUGGUAGUCCACGCCGUAAACGAUGGAUACUCGCUGCGAGCUAAAGAUUGUUCGUGGCUUAGGGAAACCGAUAAGUAUCCCACCUGGGGAGUACGCCGGCAACGGUGAAACUCAAAGGAAUUGAC